RNAcentral lists this ribosomal RNA (542 nucleotides) under Diaporthe phyllanthicola. RNAcentral describes it as "eukaryotic LSU rRNA". The stretch from base 214 to 367 matches the Rfam family "5.8S ribosomal RNA". The record is from RNAcentral. Lineage: Eukaryota; Fungi; Ascomycota; Sordariomycetes; Diaporthales; Diaporthaceae.
UAACAAGGUCUCCGUUGGUGAACCAGCGGAGGGAUCAUUGCUGGAACGCGCCCUAGGCGCACCCAGAAACCCUUUGUGAACUUAUACCUUACUGUUGCCUCGGCGCAUGCUGGCCCCCUCGGGGCCCCCUGGAGACAGGGAGCAGGCACGCCGGCGGCCAAGUUAACUCUUGUUUUUACACUGAAACUCUGAGAAAAAACACAAAUGAAUCAAAACUUUCAACAACGGAUCUCUUGGUUCUGGCAUCGAUGAAGAACGCAGCGAAAUGCGAUAAGUAAUGUGAAUUGCAGAAUUCAGUGAAUCAUCGAAUCUUUGAACGCACAUUGCGCCCUCUGGUAUUCCGGAGGGCAUGCCUGUUCGAGCGUCAUUUCAACCCUCAAGCAUUGCUUGGUGUUGGGGCACUGCUUUUAACGAAGCAGGCCCUGAAAUCUAGUGGCGAGCUCGCCAGGACCCCGAGCGCAGUAGUUAAACCCUCGCUUUGGAAGGCCCUGGCGGUGCCCUGCCGUUAAACCCCCAACUUCUGAAAAUUUGACCUCGGAUCA